GACGAACGCUGGCGGCGUGCUUAACACAUGCAAGUCGAGCGAUGAAGCACCUUCGGGUGUGAAUUAGCGGCGAACGGGUGAGGAACACGUGAAGAAUCUGCCUUCAACUCUGGGAUAACUCCGGGAAACCGGGGCUAAUACCGGAUAUGAGCCUUGAUCGCAUGAUCGGGGCUGGAAAGUUUUUCGGUUGAAGAUGACUUCGCGGCCUAUCAGCUUGUUGGUGAGGUAAUGGCUCACCAAGGCGACGACGGGUAGCCGGCCUGAGAGGGCGACCGGCCACACUGGGACUGAGACACGGCCCAGACUCCUACGGGAGGCAGCAGUGGGGAAUAUUGGGCAAUGGAGGAAACUCUGACCCAGCGACGCCGCGUGAGGGAUGAAGGCCUUCGGGUUGUAAACCUCUUUCAGUAGGGAAGAAGCGAAAGUGACGGUACCUACAGAAGAAGCACCGGCUAACUAUGUGCCAGCAGCCGCGGUAAUACAUAGGGUGCAAGCGUUGUCCGGAAUUAUUGGGCGUAAAGAGCUCGUAGGUGGUUCGAUACGUCGGAUGUGAAAAUCAGGGGCUCAACCCCUGACCUGCAUCCGAUACGGUCGAGCUAGAGUUUGGUAGGGGAGACUGGAAUUCCUGGUGUAGCGGUGGAAUGCGCAGAUAUCAGGAGGAACACCGAUGGCGAAGGCAGGUCUCUGGGCCAAUACUGACACUGAGGAGCGAAAGCGUGGGGAGCGAACAGGAUUAGAUACCCUGGUAGUCCACGCCGUAAACGGUGGGCGCUAGUUGUGCGAACCUUCCACGGUUUGUGCGACGCAGCUAACGCAUUAAGCGCCCCGCCUGGGGAGUACGAUCGCAAGAUUAAAACUUAAAUGAAUUGACGG
This 873-nucleotide ribosomal RNA is filed under the name uncultured Actinomycetales bacterium. RNAcentral describes it as "bacterial SSU rRNA". It matches the Rfam family "Bacterial small subunit ribosomal RNA", at positions 28 to 916 of the family's 1533-position model. Lineage: Bacteria; Bacillati; Actinomycetota; Actinomycetes; Actinomycetales. The record is from RNAcentral.